GGACGCAUAGCUCAGCGGGAGAGCGUUCCCUUCACACGGGAGAGGUCCAAGGUUCGAUCCCUUGUGCGUCCACCA
This 75-nucleotide transfer RNA is filed under the name Bradyrhizobium japonicum. Its description in RNAcentral is "tRNA-Val". It matches the Rfam family "tRNA". From Rfam's summary of the family: Transfer RNA (tRNA) molecules are approximately 80 nucleotides in length. RNAcentral also lists the same sequence under 220 other names. Lineage: Bacteria; Pseudomonadati; Pseudomonadota; Alphaproteobacteria; Hyphomicrobiales; Nitrobacteraceae. The record is from RNAcentral.